UUCCUCCAUACCGGCGGUAGGUGACGGCGUGGGGGCAGCAGGCAGCUGCCCCAUCUUCGUCGCGUGCGACACUGCCGCCGAGCUCCUUGUUUGUGCUGCACCGUCGUCGACUUCGACCGCGUCAGCAUCAUAGCCUGUGCUACCUGCUGCCACGGCCACCGUAAGGAGACGGUGGCUCAGAUCGAAUUUUCCACCCCCACACGGAGACCACCACCACCAAAUUCCAUGGAUUGACAAAAGCUGCUUGGUGUGAAGAAUGAGUUUAGUUGUGAAAACUCAUCCUGAAUUACUUUUCGUUUUGGUGAAGACGAAUCUGUGCAUUCUCUAGGAUUGUUGUUCGCUCACCCUGUACAUUCUAUGCUGCUGUGAUCAGCUUUUUGCCUGAGUUAUGAAAGCUUCUAUCUGCCAGUAAUCUAUCUUAGUUAACUACCUUAUUUUAGAUUAAUGAAGAGAUAUCUACCUUUUGCUUGAGUUAUGAAAACUACUAUUUGAAUUUUAUCUGAGCUGUGAAAACACACAAAUUAGUGAUAUCUGCAUUGUAUCUGAGAUGUGAAAACACCCAUUUUAUUAAUGAAGAUAUAUGUACCUUUUG
This is a long non-coding RNA of Sorghum bicolor (sorghum), 592 nucleotides long. RefSeq lists it as uncharacterized. The record is from RefSeq and is a predicted model, not a curated record. Lineage: Eukaryota; Viridiplantae; Streptophyta; Magnoliopsida; Poales; Poaceae. The transcript is spliced from 3 exons.